UUAAGCGACUAAGCGUACACGGUGGAUGCCCUGGCAGUCAGAGGCGAUGAAGGACGUGCUAAUCUGCGAUAAGCGUCGGUAAGGUGAUAUGAACCGUUAUAACCGGCGAUUUCCGAAUGGGGAAACCCAGUGUGUUUCGACACACUAUCAUUAACUGAAUCCAUAGGUUAAUGAGGCGAACCGGGGGAACUGAAACAUCUAAGUACCCCGAGGAAAAGAAAUCAACCGAGAUUCCCCCAGUAGCGGCGAGCGAACGGGGAGGAGCCCAGAGCCUGAAUCAGUGUGUGUGUUAGUGGAAGCGUCUGGAAAGGCGCGCGAUACAGGGUGACAGCCCCGUACACAAAAAUGCACAUAUUGUGAGCUCGAUGAGUAGGGCGGGACACGUGGUAUCCUGUCUGAAUAUGGGGGGGACCAUCCUCCAAGGCUAAAUACUCCUGACUGACCGAUAGUGAACCAGUACCGUGAGGGAAAGGCGAAAAGAACCCCGGCGAGGGGAGUGAAAAAGAACCUGAAACCGUGUACGUACAAGCAGUGGGAGCACAGAGCAAUCUGUGUGACUGCGUACCUUUUGUAUAAUGGGUCAGCGACUUAUAUUCUGUAGCAAGGUUAACCGAAUAGGGGAGCCGAAGGGAAACCGAGUCUUAACUGGGCGUUAAGUUGCAGGGUAUAGACCCGAAACCCGGUGAUCUAGCCAUGGGCAGGUUGAAGGUUGGGUAACACUAACUGGAGGACCGAACCGACUAAUGUUGAAAAAUUAGCGGAUGACUUGUGGCUGGGGGUGAAAGGCCAAUCAAACCGGGAGAUAGCUGGUUCUCCCCGAAAGCUAUUUAGGUAGCGCCUCGUGAAUUCAUCUCCGGGGGUAGAGCACUGUUUCGGCAAGGGGGUCAUCCCGACUUACCAACCCGAUGCAAACUGCGAAUACCGGAGAAUGUUAUCACGGGAGACACACGGCGGGUGCUAACGUCCGUCGUGAAGAGGGAAACAACCCAGACCGCCAGCUAAGGUCCCAAAGUCAUGGUUAAGUGGGAAACGAUGUGGGAAGGCCCAGACAGCCAGGAUGUUGGCUUAGAAGCAGCCAUCAUUUAAAGAAAGCGUAAUAGCUCACUGGUCGAGUCGGCCUGCGCGGAAGAUGUAACGGGGCUAAACCAUGCACCGAAGCUGCGGCAGCGACACUGUGUGUUGUUGGGUAGGGGAGCGUUCUGUAAGCCUGUGAAGGUGUACUGUGAGGUAUGCUGGAGGUAUCAGAAGUGCGAAUGCUGACAUAAGUAACGAUAAAGCGGGUGAAAAGCCCGCUCGCCGGAAGACCAAGGGUUCCUGUCCAACGUUAAUCGGGGCAGGGUGAGUCGACCCCUAAGGCGAGGCCGAAAGGCGUAGUCGAUGGGAAACAGGUUAAUAUUCCUGUACUUGGUGUUACUGCGAAGGGGGGACGGAGAAGGCUAUGUUGGCCGGGCGACGGUUGUCCCGGUUUAAGCGUGUAGGCUGGUUUUCCAGGCAAAUCCGGAAAAUCAAGGCUGAGGCGUGAUGACGAGGCACUACGGUGCUGAAGCAACAAAUGCCCUGCUUCCAGGAAAAGCCUCUAAGCAUCAGGUAACAUCAAAUCGUACCCCAAACCGACACAGGUGGUCAGGUAGAGAAUACCAAGGCGCUUGAGAGAACUCGGGUGAAGGAACUAGGCAAAAUGGUGCCGUAACUUCGGGAGAAGGCACGCUGAUAUGUAGGUGAAGUCCCUCGCGGAUGGAGCUGAAAUCAGUCGAAGAUACCAGCUGGCUGCAACUGUUUAUUAAAAACACAGCACUGUGCAAACACGAAAGUGGACGUAUACGGUGUGACGCCUGCCCGGUGCCGGAAGGUUAAUUGAUGGGGUCAGCGCAAGCGAAGCUCUUGAUCGAAGCCCCGGUAAACGGCGGCCGUAACUAUAACGGUCCUAAGGUAGCGAAAUUCCUUGUCGGGUAAGUUCCGACCUGCACGAAUGGCGUAAUGAUGGCCAGGCUGUCUCCACCCGAGACUCAGUGAAAUUGAACUCGCUGUGAAGAUGCAGUGUACCCGCGGCAAGACGGAAAGACCCCGUGAACCUUUACUAUAGCUUGACACUGAACAUUGAGCCUUGAUGUGUAGGAUAGGUGGGAGGCUUUGAAGUGUGGACGCCAGUCUGCAUGGAGCCGACCUUGAAAUACCACCCUUUAAUGUUUGAUGUUCUAACGUUGACCCGUAAUCCGGGUUGCGGACAGUGUCUGGUGGGUAGUUUGACUGGGGCGGUCUCCUCCUAAAGAGUAACGGAGGAGCACGAAGGUUGGCUAAUCCUGGUCGGACAUCAGGAGGUUAGUGCAAUGGCAUAAGCCAGCUUGACUGCGAGCGUGACGGCGCGAGCAGGUGCGAAAGCAGGUCAUAGUGAUCCGGUGGUUCUGAAUGGAAGGGCCAUCGCUCAACGGAUAAAAGGUACUCCGGGGAUAACAGGCUGAUACCGCCCAAGAGUUCAUAUCGACGGCGGUGUUUGGCACCUCGAUGUCGGCUCAUCACAUCCUGGGGCUGAAGUAGGUCCCAAGGGUAUGGCUGUUCGCCAUUUAAAGUGGUACGCGAGCUGGGUUUAGAACGUCGUGAGACAGUUCGGUCCCUAUCUGCCGUGGGCGCUGGAGAACUGAGGGGGGCUGCUCCUAGUACGAGAGGACCGGAGUGGACGCAUCACUGGUGUUCGGGUUGUCAUGCCAAUGGCACUGCCCGGUAGCUAAAUGCGGAAGAGAUAAGUGCUGAAAGCAUCUAAGCACGAAACUUGCCCCGAGAUGAGUUCUCCCUGACUCCUUGAGAGUCCUGAAGGAACGUUGAAGACGACGACGUUGAUAGGCCGGGUGUGUAAGCGCAGCGAUGCGUUGAGCUAACCGGUACUAAUGAACCGUGAGGCUUAACCUU
This 2904-nucleotide ribosomal RNA is filed under the name Escherichia coli DEC5A. RNAcentral's name for it is "bacterial LSU rRNA". It matches the Rfam family "Bacterial large subunit ribosomal RNA". Lineage: Bacteria; Pseudomonadati; Pseudomonadota; Gammaproteobacteria; Enterobacterales; Enterobacteriaceae. The record is from RNAcentral.